Non-coding RNA from Pelobates cultripes (western spadefoot toad), 203 nucleotides. The record is from the annotation of a GenBank genome assembly. Lineage: Eukaryota; Metazoa; Chordata; Amphibia; Anura; Pelobatidae.
AGCAGGUCAGCUGAUACUCUCAUUCAAUGAAUGUCAUCCAGAUGGAGACAGAAGUGGUAUUCCUGACUGCUAGAAUGGAAGUACGCUCCAGGGGACCCUCCGUUUAUGUCAGACUACUUGAAGCAGAUUUGACACAGAACUAUGGAAUGGUGCCAGGGGCAUGCUGGCACUCUAAACCAGGAAUUAAACUUGGCUCUCUAAGC